CUUAACUUGGAGUCCGAACUCUCACUUUCUAACCCUGUGCACUUGUUUGGGAUAGUAACUCUCGCAAGAGAGCGAACUCCUAUUCACUUAUAAACACAAAGUCUAUGAAUGUAUUAAAUUUUAUAACAAAAUAAAACUUUCAACAACGGAUCUCUUGGCUCUCGCAUCGAUGAAGAACGCAGCGAAAUGCGAUAAGUAAUGUGAAUUGCAGAAUUCAGUGAAUCAUCGAAUCUUUGAACGCACCUUGCGCUCCAUGGUAUUCCGUGGAGCAUGCCUGUUUGAGUGUCAUGAAUACUUCAACCCUCCUCUUUCUUAAUGAUUGAAGAGGUGUUUGGUUUCUGAGCGCUGCUGGCCUUUACGGUCUAGCUCGUUCGUAAUGCAUUAGCAUCCGCAAUCGAACUUCGGAUUGACUUGGCGUAAUAGACUAUUCGCUGAGGAAUUCUAGUCUUCGGAUUAGAGCCGGGUUGGGUUAAAGGAAGCUUCUAAUCAGAAUGUCUACAUUUUAAGAUUAGAUCUCAAAUCAGGUAGGACUACCCGCUGAACUUAAGCAUAUCAAU
This 557-nucleotide ribosomal RNA is filed under the name Rhodotorula sp. RNAcentral describes it as "eukaryotic LSU rRNA". The stretch from base 135 to 288 matches the Rfam family "5.8S ribosomal RNA". Lineage: Eukaryota; Fungi; Basidiomycota; Microbotryomycetes; Sporidiobolales; Sporidiobolaceae. The record is from RNAcentral.